GCCCAAAAACUCAGCCAACCCAACACUCGAAACCCCACCAACCCUUCAACCAAAACAUUUACCACGGCCAGUAAAUGAGAUUAAACACCAACAAUCGGCCCCUUAAGUACCGCAAGGGAACAAUGAAAGAAUAAUGAAAAACUUUAAGCGCAACACAGCAAAGAUACACCCCUGUACCUCUUGCAUCAUGGUCUAGCAAAACCUUCCAGACAAAGAGAACCUUUAGCCUGCCCCCCCGAAACCAAACGAGCUAUUUUUAAGCAGCUGUCGAACCCCAGAGCGCACCCAUCCCUGUAGCAAAAGGGUGGGAAGACUUAAAAAUAGAGGCAAAAAGCCAACCGAGCUUGGUGAUAGCUGGCUACUCAACAAAAGAAUUUAAGUUCAACUUUAGGUACUUAUGAGCCAACUACCAAAUAAAACUCACCUCCUAUUAACCUAAGGAAAGUCAAUGGGGGUACAGCCCCAUUGAGCCGGAAUACAGCCCGAAUUGUGAGAUAACCCUUACCCCUCUUUCUGUAGGCUUCAAAGCAGCCACCAGACAAUCGCGUUAUAGCAUACUCACCAAACAAUCUUAUCAACCUAAUAACCCUCCUAACCCACUACGAGUUAUCCUAUAUGAUUAUAGAAACACCAAUGCUAAAAUUAGUAAUAAGAAACACUUAUUUCUCUUUGCACCCCUUUAAAUCAGAUUAGAAAAACUACUGACAAUUAACAAACAAACAAACACACACAUAUCUAGCCAAGACGUUACUAAAAAAUUGUUACCCCUACACAGGCAUGCAAAAAAGAAAGACGAAAACCCGCAAAAGGAACUCGGCAAAGCUUAAUCCCAACUGUUUACCAAAAACAUAGCCUUUAGCCCCCCAAGUAUUAAAGGUCUCGCCUGCCCAGUGACUCUUUAAACGGCCGCGGUAUCCUAACCGUGCAAAGGUAGCAUAAUCACUUGUCCCUUAAAUAGGGACUGGAAUGAAUGGCUAAAUGAGGAUUAAACUGUCUCUUACGGGUUGUCAAUGAAAUUGAUUUUCUAGUACAAAAGCUGGAAUAAACACAUAAGACGAGAAGACCCUGUGGAGCUUCUAAACCAAGUUCAUUCAAACAAUGCUUCCUUGUGUUUUUAGUUGGGGCGACUUUGGAGUACAAAAAACCCUCCAAAACAUGUUAAACCAAUAAUAUUAAGAACAACAAACCAAAACUACAAAAGACCCAGCAACAACCCUAAUGUUGUCUGACCAAUGAACCAAGUUACCCCAGGGAUAACAGCGCCAUCCCCUUCUAGAGUCCUUAUCGACAGGGGGGUUUACGACCUCGAUGUUGGAUCAGGACACCCCAAUGGUGCAGCCGCCAUUAAAGGUUCGUUUGUUCAACGAUUAAAGUCCUACGUGAUCUGAGUUCAGACCGGAGAAAUCCAGGUCGGUUUCUAUCUAUGUAGCACUACCUUCAGUACGAAAGGACCAAGGUAGUAGGACCAAUACUAAAAGAACGUCCCAACUAAAACUACUGAGAAACCCUAAAGUAGCAGACAUGCCUACCCUUUAUAUCAAAAUCAGGUUU
Molecule: ribosomal RNA, 1551 nt
Filed under: Darevskia chlorogaster
Lineage: Eukaryota; Metazoa; Chordata; Lepidosauria; Squamata; Lacertidae
Description: 16S ribosomal RNA
Rfam family: Bacterial large subunit ribosomal RNA
Source: RNAcentral